UAUUACGUUACCCAUGAUUGAGGACGAUUAUGGUUUGCAGAAGAUAACUCAAAAUGUGGUGAAAGUACAUUACAUCGAGGGUAAUCAUAUUACUAUCAUG
This is a long non-coding RNA of Wasmannia auropunctata (little fire ant), 100 nucleotides long. RefSeq lists it as uncharacterized. NCBI's taxonomy places the organism in Eukaryota, Metazoa, Arthropoda, Insecta, Hymenoptera, Formicidae. The transcript has 2 exons. The record is from RefSeq and is a predicted model, not a curated record.